RNAcentral lists this ribosomal RNA (848 nucleotides) under uncultured archaeon. Its description in RNAcentral is "bacterial SSU rRNA". It matches the Rfam family "Archaeal small subunit ribosomal RNA", at positions 29 to 882 of the family's 1478-position model. The record is from RNAcentral.
GCUAUUGGAGUUCGAUUAAGCCAUGCGAGUCGAGAGUCUUAGGGACUCGGCGUACCGCUCAGUAACACGUGGGUAACCUGCCCUAUGCUGGGGAAUAACCUCGGGAAACUGAGAAUAAUGCCCCAUAGUCCUCAAUGCCUGGAACGGUUUGUGGAUCAAAGCUCCGGCGGCAUAGGAUGGGCCUGCGGCGUAUCAGGUUGUAGGGGGUGUAACGUACCCUCUAGCCAUCAACGCGUACGGGUGUUGGGAGACAUAGCCCGGAGAUGGAUUCUGAGACACGAAUCCAGACCCUACGGGGUGCAGCAGGCGCGAAAACUUGGCAAUGCGAGAAAUCGUGACCAGGGAACUCCAAGUGGCUGGGGUAAGACCCAGUCUUUUCUUGACUCUUCAAAGGUCUUGGAGUAAGGGGUGGGUAAGGACGGUGCCAGCCGCCGCGGUAAUACCGGCGCCUCAAGUGGUAGUCGAUUUUAUUGGGCCUAAAACGUCCGUAGCCUGUUUGGUACAUUCGUGGGUAAAUCAACCAGCUCAACUGGUUGAAUUCUGCGAGCACGGCCAGACUUGGGACCGGGAGAGGUGUGGGGUACGCUCAGGGUAGGGGUAAAAUCCUGUCAUCCUGAGCGGACCACCUGUUGCGAAGGCGCCACACUAGAACGGAUCCGACGGUCAGGGACGAAGCCUAGGGGCACGAACCGGAUUAGAUACCCGGGUAGUCCUAGGUGUAAACGCUGUGGACUUGGUGUUGGGGACUCUCCGAGAUUCCUCAGUGCCGAAGCGAAGGUGAUAAGUCCACUGCCUGGGGAGUACGGUCGCAAGGCUGAAACUUAAAGGAAUUGGCGGGGGAGCACCGC